This is a transfer RNA of Clostridium sp. CAG:7, 71 nucleotides long. It matches the Rfam family "tRNA". Rfam says of the family: Transfer RNA (tRNA) molecules are approximately 80 nucleotides in length. NCBI's taxonomy places the organism in Bacteria, Bacillati, Bacillota, Clostridia, Eubacteriales, Clostridiaceae. The record is from Rfam.
CUCCAUAGAGCUCGAUGGUUGAGCACAUGACUCUUAAUCAUGUUGAGCAGGUUCGAUUCCUGUUAUGGAAA